AUUGAACGCUGGCGGCAGGCCUAACACAUGCAAGUCGAACGAGUGGCGGACGGGUGAGUAAUGUCUGGGAAACUGCCUGAUGGAGGGGGAUAACUACUGGAAACGGUAGCUAAUACCGCAUACCAUCGGAUGUGCCCAGAUGGGAUUAGCUAGUAGGUGGGGUAACGGCUCCCCUGGGCGACGAACCCUAGCUGGUCUGCGAGGAUGACCAGCCACAUGGGAACUGAGACACGGUCAAGCCUCCGACGGGAGGCAGCAGGGGGGAAGAGUGGACAAUGGGCGCAAGCCUGAUGGAGCCAUGCCGCGUGUAUGAAGAGGGCCUUCGGGUUGUAAAGUACUUUAAGCGGGGAGGCGUUACCCGCAGAAGAAGCACCGGCUAACUCCGUGCCAGCAGCCGCGGUAAUUC
RNAcentral lists this ribosomal RNA (406 nucleotides) under uncultured bacterium. RNAcentral's name for it is "partial 16S ribosomal RNA". It matches the Rfam family "Bacterial small subunit ribosomal RNA", at positions 29 to 526 of the family's 1533-position model. The record is from RNAcentral.